RNAcentral lists this small RNA (88 nucleotides) under unclassified sequences. Its description in RNAcentral is "GA-cis RNA". It matches the Rfam family "GA-cis RNA". The record is from Rfam by way of RNAcentral.
AAGAGUCGGUCCCCAAAUGAGGCGAAGCCUCAUUUUUGCAUGGGACCGACGAACUGCCCUCGAACAAAGUGAGGGGGCAAUACCGUAA